Molecule: long non-coding RNA, 553 nt
Organism: Quercus robur (English oak)
Lineage: Eukaryota; Viridiplantae; Streptophyta; Magnoliopsida; Fagales; Fagaceae
Exons: 2
Source: RefSeq, a predicted model, not a curated record
UGAUAGUCGAAACAUAUCAUUUUAUUAGAAGUGAAAAAGUCUCAACUCCCAUUUUAUGUGUCUGCUGCAGGUAUUUCUAUAGUUUACCUUACCUAUUGUGGCGAACACCCUUUCCCACAUUGCUACGUAUAUUUUUGUUUAUAGGGGUUGAAAUUUGCUGGAAUAUCUAUCCUUCAAAUGCUUAUUCAUCUGCACUGCUUCUCUGUCUCCAUCUUGUUAUACUGUGGGGUCUUUGGUCUGCCCCAUCUGAAUAUCCUUAUGUGGACCAUAAAGCACACAAAGAGAAACGAAAGGAAAAGUAGAUUUAUACCCCCCUUAGCUGAAUUUUGAUUGUCUUUAAACUCUUACACAAUUUUUCCAUGACUGUAAAAGAGCAGGUUGAGUUUUCUUUUCUGGCCGUAACUGGUUUCUUGUUCUAAGAUUGAAGAAUGUUCAAUCAGCCAUCUAUACUAUGAAUGCUAAAUACCAUUUUUUAGGUUGCAAGAAAGCUUGCUAUUUUAUUUUAUAUAUUUCAACAAAUUUUUAUGAAAUUGUUUAUGCUUCACUUUCCCUA